Molecule: unclassified non-coding RNA, 393 nt
Filed under: soil metagenome
Description: partial contains 5.8S ribosomal RNA, internal transcribed spacer 2, and large subunit ribosomal RNA
Rfam family: 5.8S ribosomal RNA (bases 1-122)
Source: RNAcentral
GAUUAAGAACGUAGCGAAAUGCGAUACUUGGUGUGAAUUGCAGAAUCCCGUGAACCAUCGAGUCUUUGAACGCAAGUUGCGCCCGAAGCCACUAGGCCGAGGGCACGCCUGCCUGGGCGUCACACGUCGUUGCCCCCCCCCCAUCUACUCCUUCGGGAUUGCGGGGGGCGGAUGAUGGCCUCCCGUGCGCCUAGCCGCGCGGUUGGCAUAAAUACCAAGUCCUCGGCGACGCACGCCACGACAAUCGGUGGUUGCGAAACCUCGGUUGCCCGUCGUGUGCGUUCGUCGCGCAUCGAGGGCUCGAAAAAAUGCUCGGCUCCGGCUCGGCUUUCAACGCGACCCCAGGUCAGGCGGGGUUACCCGCUGAAUUUAAGCAUAUCAAUAAGCGGAGGA